CCCCCCAAUUGUUCCCACCACCACUACCAGCGGUGAGUCCCUCCGUCCCACCUUCGAUCUACCGGUUUAGCCCACCGCAAUUACCACAACCGUUCUUGCUGUGUUCUGUAACCACCACCUACGCCGCCGGUUAUGCUCACAGCAAGCACCAGAACCGUUCGUGCCUUCGUGGGGUCUUCCGUAACCACCAUCACCAUGCGUGCCGUCCUUUGCAACCACCACCUCUGAUUCGCCGGUUUUGAAGGUCAUUGGUAUGGCGGAUUGGGUUGGCAGGAAUUUUGAAUCAACUUGAUUGCGAACGUGAAUAGAAAAUGGUGACUGCAAUAGUGGAUUCAGAUCCAACAUCUUGAACAAGCACUUGUCAUUGCACAAAAGGAAAGUAACGAGGUCAAAAGGCAACUUAGCAGGUGCUCCUUUCUAACGGUGCUAGAAACAGCUUGGUCAACGAUUAAACAAAAGCAUCACCAGCUGCAAGGCUUUGUGAUGAUCCAAAUGCAAAAAUGGAAGUACACUGCUGCUUUUGCUAACAAAGAAGUGGUCUUUUUUGUGAUACACAUCACAAAGUUAUUGCGGUAUUACCUCGUUUAUGCUACUUAAUGAGCUCCUUGACCCUCACAAAGGUUAUCUUAUGCAUGAUACAUGUAUAUUUAAAGAUAAUGGUAUAGUAAAGGAAACCCGUUAUGUUGGUCCUCAAAAUCAAGGCAUUAUGAUUAUGAAUUCUCUCCUACAAACUUUGUACUAUAUACCUUACUUUAAAAAGGUUAUGUAUCAGGUUGAUGCUCGGUAGAAUAAUAAUGAAGAACAAACCGUAUAGUAACAGAACUGGUGUAUAUACGGCUGCAUCUCGGUUGUUGAUUGCAACACCACUGCCUACUUACGUGCUACUCUGUUGAGGCAUUGGCUGGCAUACGGUGAAGAGAGGGAUACCUAAUGUGUGUUACAUAUGUAGAACAUUUAGAUGUACUUGAAUAUCAUUAUGUGAAGUCUAGUGCCAAGUACAAGCACCGAAGCACCACGAACAUAUCAAGUUAGCAGUAACAUCACUGAUCAGACGCCUAAUCUCGAACAAGAAGUGAAGGAUUGUACGCUUUAUAUGGAAUCUGACUGGACGGGAAUCAAGCAACUAUUAAAGAGACGAACGUUUGAUUUCAAUCGAGCAGCCAAGGCAGUUGAAGAAUGAAACCCACCCUUUCGUCCAGAAUCGUGCAAAACGAAGGUGCAUUCCACCUAAUUAAGUUUAGGAAGAUGUAUUGAACUAUAAUAAACUUAAUUAAGUAUUUGUGUUAUGUAUGUAUUAUUUGUAUCUUAGGUUUAUUAACUCGAAUAUUAUGUUUAUUAGGGUUGUAAACGAUGUAUUAUGUUUGUAAUUCAGUGUAAUGUUUGGAAGUUAGUUGAGAUGGCACAGGCAAACCGUCGUGGCGGUUGUUCCCGCCAAAUUCUCAACUGCCAUAACCGUUACAUUAUCAAUGUAUAUAAGGUUAUGU
RNAcentral lists this long non-coding RNA (1484 nucleotides) under Helianthus annuus (common sunflower). RNAcentral describes it as "hypothetical non coding rna". The record is from RNAcentral. Lineage: Eukaryota; Viridiplantae; Streptophyta; Magnoliopsida; Asterales; Asteraceae.